This 72-nucleotide transfer RNA is filed under the name Schistocerca americana (American grasshopper). RNAcentral's name for it is "tRNA-Arg". It matches the Rfam family "tRNA". From Rfam's summary of the family: Transfer RNA (tRNA) molecules are approximately 80 nucleotides in length. Their secondary structure includes four short double-helical elements and three loops (D, anti-codon, and T loops). Further hydrogen bonds mediate the characteristic L-shaped molecular structure. tRNAs have two regions of fundamental functional importance: the anti-codon, which is responsible for specific mRNA codon recognition, and the 3' end, to which the tRNAs corresponding amino acid is attached (by aminoacyl-tRNA synthetases). tRNAs cope with the degeneracy of the genetic code in two manners: having more than one tRNA (with a specific anti-codon) for a particular amino acid; and 'wobble' base-pairing, i.e. permitting non-standard base-pairing at the 3rd anti-codon position. Lineage: Eukaryota; Metazoa; Arthropoda; Insecta; Orthoptera; Acrididae. The record is from RNAcentral.
GGCUCGUUGGUCUAGGGGUAUGAUUCCUGCUUCCUGCGCAGGAGGUCCCGGGUUCAAAUCCCGGACGAGCCC